UACGAAGGGGGCUAGCGUUGCUCGGAAUCACUGGGCGUAAAGCGCACGUAGGCGGAUUGCUAAGUCAGGGGUGAAAUCCUGGAGCUCAGCUCCAGAACUGCCUUUGAUACUGGCGAUCUUGAGUCCGGGAGAGGUGAGUGGAACUGCGAGUGUAGAGGUGAAAUUCGUAGAUAUUCGCAAGAACACCAGUGGCGAAGGCGGCUCACUGGCCCGGUACUGACGCUGAGGUGCGAAAGCGUGGGGAGCAAACAGG
Molecule: ribosomal RNA, 253 nt
Filed under: uncultured bacterium
Lineage: Bacteria
Description: partial 16S ribosomal RNA
Rfam family: Bacterial small subunit ribosomal RNA
Source: RNAcentral